Non-coding RNA from Zopfochytrium polystomum, 73 nucleotides. The record is from the annotation of a GenBank genome assembly. NCBI's taxonomy places the organism in Eukaryota, Fungi, Chytridiomycota, Chytridiomycetes, Chytridiales, Chytridiaceae.
GGGUUUGUGGUCUAGUGGUAUGAUUCCUCCUUCGGGUGGAGGAGGUCCUGGGUUCUUUUCCACAUUCAAUUAG